AGAAUCAACGCUGGCGGCGUGCCUAACACAUGCAAGUCGCACGAGAAAGGGGAGCAAUCCCUGAGUACAGUGGCGCACGGGUGAGUAACACGUGAAUAAUCUACCUCCGAGUGGGGAAUAAACUGAGAGAAAUCUUAGCUAAUACCGCAUAACACUUACGAGUCAAAGCAGCAAUGCGCUUGGAGAGGAGUUCGCGGGCCGAUUAGUUAGUUGGCGGGGUAAUGGCCCACCAAGACGAUGAUCGGUA
Molecule: ribosomal RNA, 247 nt
Filed under: uncultured bacterium
Lineage: Bacteria
Description: partial small subunit ribosomal RNA
Rfam family: Bacterial small subunit ribosomal RNA
Source: RNAcentral